This is a long non-coding RNA of Musca domestica (house fly), 3000 nucleotides long. RefSeq lists it as uncharacterized. The transcript has 7 exons. The record is from RefSeq and is a predicted model, not a curated record. NCBI's taxonomy places the organism in Eukaryota, Metazoa, Arthropoda, Insecta, Diptera, Muscidae.
CAACUUUGAAAAAAUUUCAAGUAUAGAGGUCUACCGUUUUGGCUUAGUAUGAAAACAAUAAAAAAAUCAAACAACUUGUUGCAUUUAUUUUGAAUAAUGAUUUUGAAUAAAUGACUGAAUUAAAGGUCAACACUUCUUUUCAAAAUCGUGUACUAUAUAUCUUUUUUUUUGGUUUAUUGAAAAGUAAUUGUUGGAUAGGUACCCGUAGUACCUAUAUACCAAGACUAGUUUUGCUUACAUAUUAGUGAACACUUAAGUAACUAAAUAAUUGAACUAGUUCCAUGGUGAAUGUGACAUCAUUUUUGUUUACAAUUCAAUUUUGACUGAAGUAAUGAAGUUACAGAGUUCCUUGGUGACGGUGUUUGUUCGGUGUUUCAAUAAAGCAGGUACAUUACAAACAUCACACAAAUUAGUGUCUGUCAGCUUCAUUUUAAGAAGGUUCUAAAGACAGUUCGGCAUGCCAGUGUUUUUUUGGUGGAGAUGGAAAAAAAACUAGAGAAGGCUUCAUAUAUUUCCACACGAGCAUCCUUAACGGCUAAGUUGGACGAAAUGACACAGCCAGCAUCCACGGCUUGUCUGGAAAAAUAAUCUGCGCGUUCAUUCGAUUGGAUUCCAAUAUGGGAAGGAACCCACAGAAAAGACCUGGUAAGAGGGAUUUUCUGAAUUUGUCUAAUAUGUCUAAACCUUCCGUGCAGUUCAGCGAGCUCUGAUACUUUGGAAAAGGAUGAAUGUUCAUAAACAGGGAUUGAAGGUGUAACAUUGAUGGGACUGGCUACUGGAUGAUUGAUAAUGGUGCGAGGAGCUGCUAUUUUGCUGUACUUUAUUUUUGCGAUUCUUCUGUUUAUUUCUUCAUUAAAGUUUCUUAUAUUUUGAUUAGAAGAUUUACUCAUUGGAGGAAAUUGAGAAUUGUAGUUGCCAUCAGCUAAAAUGUUGUAAUAAUUGUGGGAUUCUGGGUACGUUUGCAAGACUUCCUUUCUACAUCUGCAGCGUAUGGCAAUGUGACCAAGACGCCCACAGUUUUUACAAAGACGUACCGGGGGUACAUAUAAAUCAGGUUUAAUCCUAGUACCACACAUAAAAAUAGAUUGAGGGACUCCAUUACAGAUUAUUCCAACCUUGACUAUUUCAGUCUCUUCUAUUUUGUUAUUUUCGGUUUUCCUUGUAAAUCUGUAUACAGAUAUUACUUCCAUAUCAUUGUUUUGUUCAAUAGAUUUUUUUAUGGUUAUACCAUCAAUGGAUUUAGGAACAUUUUUUAUGACAUAAAACUUUUGAAUAAAACGCUCAGGGAUUUCGGCUUUUAAUACAAUUUCUUUAAGUUGCUGAUUUUGAACAAAUGAAUUUGCCAGUGCAAAGUUAUUGAAAGUAAUGCGGAAUGUAUUAUAUCCUAUGUUUUUACAAACGUAGUUGGUGGGAACAUUAAUUUUUUGAAAAAGGGCAUAAAGAUGUAGUUCGCAGUUUUUCCUCCUGGAACUAAUUGGAGUUUCCAAGGUCACAAUAACAUAAAAUGGUCCCGGAUGGUGUUGUGGGUAACAAAUGUUUGAUUGUAAGGCAUUAUAAUUGAAUUCAAUUUUUUCAGACACAUCAGAAUCAUUAGAUGAGACUUCUGAUACAUCUGUGUUUUUGAUGGGUUCACCAUUAUUGUUUAUGAAUAUUUUUUUUUUUGAUUAGACAUUAGAUGUGCCCUGCGUUUAUUUGGGUCCCAGAUAGGUGUUGGGGGCGGUUCCCCGUCGGCAUCCAUUUUUUAGAAAAAAAAAAACAAAUGUUUUUUCAAUUUUCUACUUAAUUUUCUUUGUUGAAAAAAAAAUUCAAAAGAAAAUCAAAAUGUCGCGAAAGCAAAACAAAUGUUUGUGUUUGUCUCAAUGUGUGAGUGUUAAAAAAACAAAACUAGAGUUAAAAGGCGCAGUCUAGCAUCAACAAGGGUUGAGUAGCGACUGCUAUAUAUCUCUAAAGGAUUAUUUCGCUACAAAAACUCUAGAUUUUGUCGAUGCAUACGUUGAAAUAAACACCCGAAUUUGAUUCUGUACAAUUUUUUUUGUUAUUGAAAAGAAAACACAUACAUAAACAAAUAAAGAUGACAUAUUAAGCCAAUAAAAUUAAAAAAAAACUGAAAACUCGUAAAAACACUGAAAACUCAGUCCUAUACCAACCUUUUAAAAUCGAGUGGAUUCAAAAUGCCCAUCCUAGACUGCCCGACUAGAUGGAAUUCUACAUAUUUAAUGUUGGAACGUUUGUUUGAUUUAAAGGAGUUCAUCAAUUUGGUUAAAGUCGAUCGUCCGUUUUUCGAUAUAUCUGAAAGUAGCUGGAAAUCAAUUGCCGAAUUUUUAAAAUUAUUUACGACAUAUCUAAGAAGUUACAAUCGAAAAAUCUCAUUUAUAGUGAGUUAUAUAUACAAAUCAUGAAUAUUAUACUUCAAUUGGAAAGACUCCCAAGCACUAAAUUAAGUGCACUUCUAAUCGAAGCUGUAAGAAAAAGGAAAUGCAUGCUAUUUGAUAAUGAUUUAUUUUUGACCGCUAUAUUUUUGGACCCAAGAAUUAAAGUUUCAUUAAAUAACAAAGAUAUUGCAAGAGCAAAAAAUUAUAUACUUCAAUUAAAUACACGAAUUUCAGCUUUGAAAGGAAAUAAUAUUACAGCUACAUCUUUUUCUGAAUCCGAAUUUUCUAAUUCAACCUCUGUCGCCGAACAAGACAGCCCAUAUUUGCAAUAAAUGGAAAUAUUAUAGACUAUUGGACAAAAGAAAACAAUACCCUAACAACAAUUGCAUUCAUUGUGUUAGCGAUUCCAUUUACACAAGUAAGUGUCGAGAGAGUGUUUUCGACAUUAAAAUACAUAUUAGCAGAUCAGCGAAAUAAGCUAAUACCAACAAAUUUGGAGCACAUUUUAUUAACUAGAGUAACUGGAGCAUUUGAAUAUGAAGUCUAAUUAUUUUUUUAAACCAUUUUUAUAUUAUAAUUUUCUUAAUACGUUUUCAAAUACAAAUAAAAAUACAUGAAUUCAUCUUAA